RNAcentral lists this microRNA (21 nucleotides) under Eptesicus fuscus (big brown bat). RNAcentral's name for it is "efu-miR-9261". Lineage: Eukaryota; Metazoa; Chordata; Mammalia; Chiroptera; Vespertilionidae. The record is from miRBase by way of RNAcentral.
AAACGCCGUGGGACGCGGGAC